GUCUGGUGCCAGCAGCCGCGGUAAUUCCAGCUCCAAUAGCGUACGUUAAAGUUGCUGCAGUUAAAAAGCUCGUAGUUGAACGUUCGGGUUCCGCGGGACGGGGCCGCCCCGCGAGGGACGGCGCCGCCCCGGGGCUCGUGAUAUCUCAUCUCGCCGCCCGUCGCGAGGCGGACGGAGGGAUGGAUGAGGUUACCUGGAAAAAAUCGGGGCGAUCUAGGCGGGCGAACCUCGCCAACGAACGAUCGGACAUGGGAUAACGGAAGAGGGCGUCGGCUCGACUUCGUCGGUUCCUCGGGGCCGAGGCACGUACGGUGAAUAGGGACGGUCGGGGCCGCCCGUACCGGGUCGUGAGAGGUGAAAUUCUAGGAUCGACCCGAGACGAACCGCCGCGAAAGCAUUCGGCAAGGACGCUUUCAUUAAUCAAGAACGAAAGUCGGGGAUCGAAGACGAUCAGAUACCGUCGUAGUCCCGACCGUAAACGAUGCCGACCGAGGGCCCGGAGGAGUUACGUACGACCCUCCGGGCCCUCCCGCGAGAAAUCAGGAGUAUUCGGGUUCCGGGG
Molecule: ribosomal RNA, 562 nt
Filed under: uncultured eukaryote
Lineage: Eukaryota
Description: bacterial SSU rRNA
Rfam family: Eukaryotic small subunit ribosomal RNA
Source: RNAcentral